This is a long non-coding RNA of Manis pentadactyla (Chinese pangolin), 4126 nucleotides long. RefSeq lists it as uncharacterized. The transcript is spliced from 3 exons. The record is from RefSeq and is a predicted model, not a curated record. NCBI's taxonomy places the organism in Eukaryota, Metazoa, Chordata, Mammalia, Pholidota, Manidae.
GUUGCUCUGGACCAGUUCCUCACUUUACAGGUGGGGCCACCAAGGUCUAGAGCAAGAGGGUCAUCCAUAACACUAGAGGGCUCAUCUUGACCUUGUUGCUGACUAUGAAUGGCUGGGACAAAGUGGCUUCUUUUUUUGGGCUUCAGUGUCCCUCUCUGGGAACAGAGGAUGUUGGGACAGUUGAUCUCUAGAGUCCCGUCCAGCCCUAAUGGCAUAUCACAGGUGUGACUUAACUUACUGGGACAUCACUUGAGCCUCAAGAUGCUUCUGAACAGCGGUUAGGUUUGUUUUGCAGUUGAAAUGACUGGAUUCUGUAUUGCAAUGGACAGCAAAGGAGAGAUGUGUGGGAUAGUUCAGGACCUACAGAGCCAGUCUUUGGUGGAAGAUGUGCCCUGUUUUGUCCUGGGUGGUGGCAGAAGGAAGUUCACCAGUGAAACAGCUGCAAAACAGCAGAAGAGCCCAUCUGGGAAAAGUCCAAUGGACUGGGGCCACCCUUUUUGCUCACAAUCUCAUCCUCUAGUUCCUGCCUUCCUUUGCCCAACCCCUCCAAGUCAUCUCUUUUUCAUUCCCUUCCUACCCUCUCCAAUCAUCUGUAUCAAGUCUUUCAAAGGUGAGCUCAUUCCCUCUGCCUACCCAAGACGUACAUGCAACCCACCCACCUCCUUCCCAUUUGAGUUUAGUGACCCAGAGCUUGUAAGGGUGUUGUCACAAUAUAGGCAACCAGAAGUGAUGUGUGAAUAGAAAGGGUUGGAGAUGAGGCUGUAGGUGAUGCCUUCCUGUACAAAAUUGCAUGGGGUGUUGUGGUGCUAAGCCACAUUAGUCUUUAAAAUGGCUAUUUCAUCAGCAACUUGAUAAGAGCUCAAUAUGAGGAUGAAGAGAAUCUGUGGGCUAGAAGAGAAACUGAGGCCUAGAGCAAAGAGGUAAUGUGUCCAAGACUCAUGGCUAAUGGGCCCUUCCUGGCCUGGAUAUUUACUCAGUACUUGGCUUAGAGAGGAUCCUGGGUGCAGCCACUUUGUUUUUCAAAUUAGAAAACUGAGGUGUGGAGACACCAAUGACUUGCCUACGGUCAUAGAGCUUGUUAUACAAAGAUUAGGACUACACUCAGGACUCCCGACUCUUCUUGUUAGAAUACCUCAGCUGCAUCAGUCUGCCCCCUGAAGUGGCUUUAUAAGAUGGUAGGGCUCAUGCUAAGGAUUCUGAAGAGGAAACGUCCAAAUGAAUAGACAAAAAGAUGAAAUUAGAGAGAUAUCAAACCUCAGUGUUCCCUUGGGGCUUUUCCUUUCCCUUUCUUUGAUACCUCCCAGCUCCCCUUCCUCCUCCCUCACACAGCCCUCCUGGGGGUGGCCUCCACCGUGGCUCUGGGCCUUCUGCUUGGCCUCUUCUGCUCCCCCUUCCUGGGGCACUUGUCUACUCACAUCAUUUCAGCUCUUGUGCCAUGCAGACACGCCCUCCAACUCAACUGUGCUCCAGGCCUGGACUUCACAUUUCUUUCCACAGCUGGUUCUGGGCUAUUUCCAUAUGCAAAUAUGCUUAGCUCAGCCAAAAGUCAAAAUUGGAAUUCGUCUUGCCUCUGAGAAUCCGCAGCCUUUUCCUACACCCGUUUCCUUCAGUGCUUCCUCAGACUCCCAAUCCUCCACACUCAGAACUUUUAAGGUCCCCAGAGGCUGGGGGAGGUGGGAGGGGGGAGUUGGUGUUGAACGGGUCUAGAGCUUCAGUUUGGGAAGAUGAAAAAAAAGUUCUGGAGAUAGGCAGUGGUGGCAGUUGCACAACAAUGUGAAUGUAUUUUAUUCCACUGGACUGUACACUUACAAUGGCUAAGAUGGUAAAUUUUAUGUUAUAUAUAUUUUACCACAAUUAAGAAAACACAAAACAAAAACUUUCAAGUCAUCCUUGACUCAUGGCUACUCUGCUCUCUCCUCCCCAACUCGCUUUGUUACGAUGUCAUGCUGAGUUUGCACUUAGUGGAGGUUCCUCAGAUGUUCACAUCCUGCAGCAUCACCGAGGCAGCUUGUGAGUUAUCGAUUCCCAAGCUCCUCUCCCCUCUUUAUUCUGGAGGUGGAGCCUAGAACUUGCAUUUAAACAAACUUAGCGACAAACCCGAUAUGGACAGACACAGACCACACUGGGAGAAACACGGCCUUUCAGCGUCUUGUGGUGUUGUCCCUUUGUCUCCUUUCUGUGACCCCUUUCCAUACCCCGGCUGGCCCGCAUCACCUCACACCUGGGUUGCAGUAACAGCUGGCCUGUCUUUGGCCAGCCUUUCUCUGCUCCAGCCUCUUCAGCUGCCAGGACCCAUCUUUUGCAAAUAUCCUUGGCAUCGCAUCACUUCCCUGCUCUGAAGCCUACCAUGGCUCCCUCGGACCUAUUAAAUCCUAUCUCAAUUCACUUGGAGCCAGCCCAGUCAGCUCCCAUCCUCCCUCUUUCCUCCUCCCCUCGCUCCCAUCCUUCCAGGCUCAUUGGUCAUUCCUCAUCUUAUAUUAACCCCUCUGCUAGUUUGGGGCUGUUUGCUUUCUGUCUCUCUCCUCACUGUCCCUGGAACACUUCUGCUACACAGGAGGAAUUAUUGCAACUGUUGAGAUUCUUCAUCCUGUUUUUCCAGCCAGCUCCUCCCUGGAAACCACGUCUGCUUGGAAUAGAGAACUGAUGGAGCUCUCUGCUAAACCUUGCCUGAUCUAGUGGAGGUGGUUAAGUAUUAAGUAUUUGGGUUCCAACAAGCUUCUCUGCAUGAGACAACCUGAGUAACUGGGCUGUCUACAAAACUCUAAUUAUGUCCAUUAAUUUUCUAACCAACUAGGAGGAGAUGAGGUGAGAUCUGAAAGCAUGUUUUUUCCAGAAUAAAUAGGAUGAUACCAGGACUUCAAAAUACCAUAAGGAACAGCAGUUUGUGUACCUACUUUCUCUUGGUCUUUCUAGAAUGCUCCUCCUACAGUCCAGGUCCCAGUGGCCCAACUUCCUCCUCUGCUGACUCCCUGGGUUCCUCAUGGGAGCCCAACCGGAGCACCUUCCUGUGUGGCGGUUCCCAGCCAGAGAGCUGUGCACUUUGCACCCACCAGUCCUUGUCUGUAAAUAAUCUACCACCCACAUUUCUGUUCUACUUUUCAAACCCACUCCUAUGCUAUUGUGGCAAAUACAAUAAAUUCCUUUAAAAGUCCCACUGAAUUCAGUCACUGCUUGUCAUUAUGUGUUUCUCUUCCCCCUUCCCCUCAAUGAAUACUGAAAGUUCAACUACUAACGGGCUGGGGGAGGUGUGAGAAUAUUUUUGACAUUGAAAAGGGGCCCUUGUUGUCACAAAGGCUGGGGACCACUGCCUCAUGGGACACGUGGGAGCCGCGGGUGCGGCGCUGAGCUCUCUGUUUUCUUGUCUGUCAAAUGGAGGUAAAUCAUAAGGGUCUGUUUUUCUAACGGCAGGAAACAGAAUAUUCUGCAUUCAUGAGGAGGGGGUGGCUGAACAGUGUCUUGUCCAAGUGUGGGGAGGGCUGCCAAGGGGAUCGGGUGAGAUAACAGCUAGCGGGAGCCCUGGGUGAAGGAGCAUGCCCAGGCAGGGAGGCCUGCUUCUUGUUCUUUUCCUUGCUCUGGAUCCAGCUGCCCCAGCUGGGUCCAGAACCCCACAGCCUGUGAAGGGCUUCCCAGGAGCAAUGUAUUCUUUCGCCUUUCCCCGCCCCUACUUGGUUUUCUGUGGAACAAUAACAAAAGAGCUGCUCCUGUUAAGUGACUAGCAAACAGCCACAGAGUUCCUCUUAUCUAGUCUAGCAGCUGCUGUGGCCUCAGAGGGUGCAGUGUUUGUCUCUGUUUAGUCAGGGUUGCCUAGGAAACAAAGUUGUUCUUGUUUCUCACAGUGUGACUGUGGGCAAGUAUUUUCCCUUUUCUUGCAGGGAAGGGCUGGAUGAGCAGAAAGGGCUGUGUGUUUGCUGGACCAUCCUCUGGCUUUCUGUUUUUCUUCAGUUAGUCCUUGCUUGGCUGGAAAUCAGUGGGGGACAUCUCCAGAUAAGCUGAAGAGUUGAGAAGUCCUCUCAGUUUGUCCGCAUGUGGGGAGGGGCUUGGGAGUUAGUGGGGACUGGGGACAGUUGGGUUUGGGUUGGGGCAGCUGCCUAGUCCAAAGCUUAUAGCUGCUCCAGCAGCUGUGAAA